Molecule: long non-coding RNA, 1418 nt
Organism: Oncorhynchus masou masou (cherry salmon)
Lineage: Eukaryota; Metazoa; Chordata; Actinopteri; Salmoniformes; Salmonidae
Exons: 4
Source: RefSeq, a predicted model, not a curated record
ACUAUACACAUCAUUGCUAUCAGCUGGCAGAGGCUGGAGGGGAGAAAACCGCAGCGAACUACUACCAAACAACAUUGUUAGUCUUCGAGACAAGGGCGAAACGACCUGGGGAAUAGUUACAGGGGAUGAAUAAGGCAAUUGUAAACUGGGGAUUAUUAGGUGACCGUGAUGGUUUGAUGGCCAGAUUGGGAAUUUAGCCAGGACACCGGGGUUAACACCCCUACUCUUACAAUAAGAGCCAUGGGAUCUUUAAUGACAGAGAGUCAGGACACCCGUUUAACGUACCAUCCAGAAGACAGCACCCUACAAAGGGCAGUGUCCCCAAUCACUGGCCUGGGGAAUUGGGAUAUUUUUUAGACCAGAGGAAAGAGUGCCUCCUACUGGCCCUCCAACACCACUUCCAGCAGCAUCUGGUCUCCCAUCCAGGAACUGACCAGUACCAACCCUGCUUAGCUUCAGUAGCAAGCCAGCAGUGGUGUGCAGGGUGGUAUGCAGGGUAGUUUGCUGCUGGCCAAUGACCAAAAGAGACCAGAAGAGGGCAGUCAUGUUCUACCAAAGACAGAACAACAUCAAUUCCUGCCUCAAACCAUAUCCAUCAUAAAGCUCUAGAGGAAGACAUGAGGGGCCUGUAACUCUAACACCCUGCACCGCAGAGCUCAACCGUGUUGUGUGUCAUCAGUUCCAGUCCCUCCUCAGUAAUUCUCGAUCAUGGGAGCCCUUUUUCACAGCCAAGACUGUUUGCAUGAUUUCCAUUGAAAUGAGUAUGUGCACUUCAUGGGAACCGAAUGAAAGGAAACGCAGUCAAAACACAGACAGCAUCGGUGAAGAGUCAGGAGUCAAGAGUCCCUGGACCACUGACAACAAACCCCACGCUGUCAGGACCUGAGCCCUAGGACCAUGCCCCAGGACUACCUGACAUGAUGACUCCCUGCUGUCCCCAGUCCACCUGGCCGUGCUGCUGCUCCAGUUUCAACUGUUCUGCCUUAUUAUUAUUCAAGCAUGCUGAUCAUUUAUGAACAUUUGAACAUCUUGGCCAUGUUCUGUUAUAAUCUCCACCCGGCACAGCCAGAAGAGGACUGGCCACCCCACAUAUGCUCUCUCUAAUUCUCUCUUUCUUUCUCUCUCUUGGAGGACCUGAGCCCUAGGACCAUGCCCCAGGACUACCUGACAUGAUGACUCCUUGCUGUCCCCAGUCCACCUAACCGUGCUGCUGCUCCAGUUUCAACUGUUCUGCGUUAUUAUUAUUCGACCAUGCUGGUCAUUUAUGAACAUUUGAACAUCUUGGCCAUGUUCUGUUAUAAUCUCCACCCGGCACAGCCAGAAGAGGACUGGCCACCCCACAUAGCCUGGUUCCUCUCUAGGUUUCUUCCUAGGUUUUGGCCUUUCUAGGGAGUUUUUCCUAGCCACCGUGCGUCUAC